This is a long non-coding RNA of Brachypodium distachyon (stiff brome), 1112 nucleotides long. RefSeq lists it as uncharacterized. The record is from RefSeq and is a predicted model, not a curated record. Lineage: Eukaryota; Viridiplantae; Streptophyta; Magnoliopsida; Poales; Poaceae. The transcript has 2 exons.
GCGGCGUGACGCGACGUUUUUUUACAGCGGCAGACGAUUUUACGUAUCUCCGUCCGUCACAGUCCAAAGCAUCUGCAGUUAUUGCUAUCCAGGCUCUCUCUUUGUGACCACGUCGGCGUGAGUCGCUUCACUUGCGUUUCCUAUGCCUCCCGCUCCCUCUGCCCACACGACGCAAGCAAAGCAAAGCAAAAGCACCAGCUCAGGGCCUCAGCCUCAGCUCCCUAUUUAUGCAGCACUCCCUGCUGCCCCAACUCAUCUCAUCACCAGCAGCCCCAAAGAACCUCUUAACCGAACAGCUGCUCGAGGGGGACGAAGAUGGAGGCGAGCUGCUCGAGCUUCGGCCGUUUUGAGAUGGAGAGGACCAACUCUGCGACAGCCGACCCUUGCGGGCAGGAGGAGUUCGAGCUCAGCCAAAAAGAGUUCAGCACUCUCCGCGAGAGUUGCAGACGAGAAUCUCACAGAUUCUUCCUCCCGGGAGCAUCCGCCGCGCUGAUUCGUCCAUAGACAUGGCAUGGUGUUAUCCUGAUUGAGCUUUUCUUUCGUCCACCAACAUUCUCUUCGUUUUUCUUCAUUUUCUCCACGCCACAUUGUCUGGGGUAUUACAAGAUUCGGUCUUCUUGACCUUGCAAGACCUUUUCUUGACCUUGUAAGACCCAAACAUGUUGCAUCUCUUCACACGUUCCUUCUAUCCUUGUUCCAGCUUCUCCAUCUUGGCCUCCUCACUCGCGUUCUUUGCCCUCACAUCCUUCCUCCGUCUAUCCCUCCUGAGCUAUUUUGUUUCAAUGUUAUGUUUGUAUUAGUUAUUAGUAUUCAAAAGCAAGAUGAUAUAUGAAGUGACAAAUGAAAAAGAUUCCAGCUAUCAUGUUUGAUUCUAUCCUUUACCCGGAGUAUUUUGUUUUGUCUGCAGAGUACAGACGAGACACACGAGUUCUCUGUUGCCAUAAUGCUCACGCAUGUGGAAGCAAAAGCCUGCUUGUAACCGAGCAUGUGUAUGUAUUGCCAUCGUUGUAAUAAGUCAAUUUUCCUAGUACUUCAAUAUAAACAUCUUUGAUGCCACACGGCACACCGUUGAAAGGAACUGCUCAAUUUACUGCGGUAUUUCCGUAUUGUCA